Bubalus bubalis (water buffalo) is the source of this 527-nucleotide long non-coding RNA. RefSeq lists it as uncharacterized. The transcript is spliced from 2 exons. NCBI's taxonomy places the organism in Eukaryota, Metazoa, Chordata, Mammalia, Artiodactyla, Bovidae. The record is from RefSeq and is a predicted model, not a curated record.
GCGGACUAGAGGUUGGGUGUCGCGGCACCCCUUAAUCUACUCAUAUCUCGGCCUCUGGGCCCAGGUAUGUGCUGUGUGCUAAGUCGCUUCAGUAGUGUCCGACUCUGCGACCCCAUGGCUCCUCUGUCCAUGGAAUUUCCCAGGCGAAUUCACCACUGGCCCACCUGGGAAUCCGGUGCAAGCGGCUGAAUGGUUCCAGUCCUGAGGAUUUCCCAGGAGUGGACACUACUUGUGGUUGCCAUCCCAGAUAACAGGGACAUUGCUCCAGAUGUGCCCACGCGGCCUGAGCCCUGUGUCUACACCGCUGUGGGAGAAUUGGAAAUGGGAAGAGUAGUGCCCACUAUUUCAGUGGCCAAAUGUGUACGGGUUGAGAACGUCAACCAGCUAGUUCCAGAAACCUGGCUGAACCAUUCACUAACUGGAUUUGCCUGUUUCAUUGUCUGUUAUAUGGGUAUAAUGGGGGUACCCCCCCACAAAGGGCUGUUGAAGUUUAAUAAUUAAAUGAAUUCACAGAUUGGUACAGUGUU